Molecule: ribosomal RNA, 464 nt
Filed under: uncultured microorganism
Description: bacterial SSU rRNA
Rfam family: Bacterial small subunit ribosomal RNA
Source: RNAcentral
GAGUUUGAUCGUGGCUCAGAGCGAACGCUGGCGGCAGGCUUAACACAUGCAAGUCGAGCGGGCGUAGCAAUACGUCAGCGGCAGACGGGUGAGUAACACGUGGGAACGUACCUUUUGGUUCGGAACAACUGAGGGAAACUUCAGCUAAUACCGGAUAAGCCCUAACGGGAAGAUUUAUCGCCGAAAGAUCGGCCCGCGUCUGAUUAGCUAGUUGGUGAGGUAAUGGCUCACCAAGGCGACGAUCAGUAGCUGGUCUGAGAGGAUGAUCAGCCACACUGGGACUGAGACACGGCCCAGACUCCUACGGGAGGCAGCAGUGGGGAAUAUUGGACAAUGGGGCAACCCUGAUCCAGCCAUGCCGCGUGAGUGAUGAAGGCCCUAGGGUUGUAAAGCUCUUUUGUGCGGAAGAUAAUGACGGUACCGCAAGAAUAAGCCCCGACUAACUUCGUGCCAGCCGCCGCCGU